RNAcentral lists this ribosomal RNA (494 nucleotides) under uncultured bacterium. RNAcentral's name for it is "partial 16S ribosomal RNA". It matches the Rfam family "Bacterial small subunit ribosomal RNA", at positions 28 to 507 of the family's 1533-position model. The record is from RNAcentral.
GACGAACGCUGGCGGCGCGCUUAACACAUGCAAGUCGAACGGAAAGGCCUGCUUUCCCUUGUGGAUUGCGGGUACUCGAGUGGCGAACGGGUGAGUAACACGUGAGUGAUCUGCCCCCAACUUGGGUAUAAGCCUGGGAAACUGGGUCUAAUUCCCGAUAGGACUGCAGGGCGGUGCCUGUGGUGGAAAACGAUUUUCUAGUGGUUGGGGAUGAGCUCGCGGCCUAUCAGCUUGUUGGUGGGGUAAUGGCCUACCAAGGCGGGGACGGGUAGCCGGCCUGGGAGGGUGGACGGCAACAUUGGGACUGAGAUACGGCCCAGACUCCUACGGGAGGCAGCAGUGGGGAAUAUUGAACAAUGGGCGGAAGCCUGAUGCAGCGAGGCCGAGUGGGGGAUGACGGCCUUCGGGUUGUAAACUCCUUUCGACCGCGAGGAAGCCACCUGGUUGGAAGGGUGGUGACGGUAGUGGUAGAAGAAGCACCGGCUAACUACGUG